AAGUCGUAACAAGGUCUCCGUUGGUGAACCAGCGGAGGGAUCAUUACCGAGUUUCUACACUCACCAAACCCACUGUAAACGUACCCAAUCUUAGCCCCUCCGGCAGGCGGCCCCAGGGCGGGGCCUCAGCCUUUAUGGCGCCUGCCGAAGGAGGCGCAACUUUUGCUCUUUAAAAUACAAUCUGAGACCUAAGACAAAAUAUCAAAAUUUUCAAUUGUGGAUCUCUUGGUUCUG
This 234-nucleotide unclassified non-coding RNA is filed under the name Atractospora reticulata. RNAcentral's name for it is "partial internal transcribed spacer region". The stretch from base 1 to 46 matches the Rfam family "Eukaryotic small subunit ribosomal RNA", at positions 1786 to 1831 of the family's 1831-position model. The record is from RNAcentral. Lineage: Eukaryota; Fungi; Ascomycota; Sordariomycetes; Atractosporales; Atractosporaceae.